GACAUAAUAAGAUACCUUUCGUCAAACAUUUUGACAGGUCUAUUGUUCUUUGACCUUUUUGACCUUUCAGUCCUAUUGUUCAUUUUGACCCUUGACCUUGCCCCCCUUUCCUAUCAUUAAUCAAAUGGACAGGUGUAUUGUUCAAUCCAUGCCCCCCCUUCCGUAUCAUUAAUCAAAUGGACAUGUGUAUUGUUGAACGUCCAGAUGGCCUAGACCCCCCACGCCGCAUCAUCAAUGGCGUAUUGUUGAGCGUCCAGAUGUCCAUGAUCCCCCACGUCAUAGGCUAAUGUGUGUAAUGGCGCGUGAAGUUUCUUAUUGUGUUACCCCAGUGGUUCACACAGCCCCCUCCCAUACGCCGCUGUCACAAACCUCUCAGAUAUGUUCAUCACCUAAAUUCAACACACAGAAAGUUUUGUCAUCUAAAUUGUACUGCAAAUGCAGAGAAGCAAGAAAAAGAAGGCCAGCCUCACCAGUGAGCAGAACCACAUCAGUCUGACGCUGCAGCCAUUAUAAUGCAUUUACCAGCCCUUACUGGCACACCAUAUCAGUCUAACCUCGUGGGACUUUUUAUAUCAAACAUGACAUGGCUCACUGACAGUGGAUGAGUGCGGCCUAACUGCUGUGAAUGACAGCCCCACACGCUGGUCAAGUACUUAUGAAAUGGUUGCAGGUCUCCUCAAAGUUAAAGAAUCUGACUGUAGAAUGGGGUGGGUCUGCUUGCUUGCUCUUGAGACUCAGCCAUCUGGCAGAUGUUCACAAAGUGCUUUUCUCCCAAAUAUUAGAUAUUUGGAUUUUGUAUGUUCAGUCUUAAACUUUGCGUUUAAAUGUGUAAAUAUUUACAUGCAGCUCACUGACACUUUUUGACCAGAACUAAAACUAUUGUGUAAAACUCUCUGUCCAGCAGCACAUCAGAGGCUGUAAACACACACACAAACUCUUCAGAGUGACACAUUGUCUAUGUCAUUAAUACUCUCUUUGAUUUACUCAGCCAUCUGGCAGAUGUUCACAUUGGAUUUCGUAUGUUCAGUCUUAAACUUUGUGUUUAAAUGUGUAAAUAUUUACAUGCAGCUCACUGACACUUUUUGACCAGAACUAAAACUAUUGUGUAAAACUCUCUGUCCAGCAGCACAUCAGAGGCUGUAAGCACACACACACACACACACACACACACACACACACACACACACACACACACACACACACACACACACACACACACACACACACACACACACACACAUUGCUUCCUGCCUCAGAGAAAAGAUUUGAUCCUUUUUGUAGGACCUAUAACAGCUGAAUUAAAUAAAAAGCUGUUUAUGAGGUUUGUUUUUUGGGAGGGGUGGAUUAGUAGUCUCGGAGCAGACGUACCUUCUUUAUCAAAACUUUAAUGUCUUACCUCUCAGAAUAGUUAAACUAAGGCACAUGCAUGUCGUAAACGGAUUUACACACGAGUGAAGGAGCAGCUACAUUUUAUCCAUUAUUAAGGAAACAUAAGCGAUUUCAGGAAGAAAUGUCCGGUACAAAACCGGUCCGGUAUUAUUUUUUGGAUCGUAAAGGUUUUUUUAUUUCUGCUCCGGGGAGUUUUGAAGAAGCAAUGGAUACGAGUUAAACACACACACACACACACACACACACACACACACACACACACACACACACACACACACACACACACACACACACACACACACACACACACACACACACACACACACACACACACCUUUCAGAAAAUGACUGACCCUCUCAGGGUUACCAACUCUAAACAUCCAUUCAGACAUUUGUCUACCUAUACAACAAAGCAAAUAACUCUGUAUUGUUUAUAAACAUUUUUUUUUCGACCAAUCGCAACCGUUUUCUAUUCAAGAUUUUUUUAAACAGCGGUAUAAAAUGUAAAACGCAUUUUCGGAGUCGUGAUUUGAGGUGUAACAAGCUAAGAUGACGGGUAAGUUUUUAACUUAAGACGCAAAUCUUUUUUUCUCUUUCUGGUUUAACAUCUUUAUUUUCAGACGCUAUUGUCAUAUCGGACGGCGAGUGGGAAGAAAUUCCUAUUGAGGAAUUAACUUGUAAAACUCCGGUACCUUUUCACCUGGAUGAUUUGUCUAAAAUUAACCGUGCGGUUGACAAUCUGAAAAAGGAGGGGGUUCAACCUUACCCCGGAAGUGAUAACUUUUACCCAACCACGCCUCCAUCCACCAGCCGAACCGUCUUACAUUCGAAUCAGCCCAGCCAGACCGUCAGAUCACACGCGAAAGCUGUUCGUUACAGGACCAUCACACCACAGACGAUCCUCGAAGCUGAGCAACGGCCGACGGCCUACGCACCCCCAAUAUCUCAGCCCCCACCACCUCCACCCCCUUCUCAUGCGCAGACGGAUGAACAACAUCCGACAGCCGCUUCAAUAUCUCCGCCCACACCACCUCCUCCUCCUCCUCCUCCCCCUUCUCCUGCACAGG
Molecule: non-coding RNA, 2456 nt
Organism: Nothobranchius furzeri (turquoise killifish)
Lineage: Eukaryota; Metazoa; Chordata; Actinopteri; Cyprinodontiformes; Nothobranchiidae
Source: RefSeq, a predicted model, not a curated record